This is a long non-coding RNA of Glycine soja, 546 nucleotides long. RefSeq lists it as uncharacterized. NCBI's taxonomy places the organism in Eukaryota, Viridiplantae, Streptophyta, Magnoliopsida, Fabales, Fabaceae. The record is from RefSeq and is a predicted model, not a curated record. The transcript is spliced from 2 exons.
AAAUAUCACAACAAGAAUUUAACAUCUUAGAAAAUUUUGAAAUAAAUUUGUAGAUUUAGAGAAGACUUAUGGCAAAGAAUGAGAUGAAAAUUAUCGGAGUUGUGAUUAUGACUAUGAUUCUGUUUGGUUUCUCACAAGCUAAUUAUAAUCCUUCAUUUGAGAAAAUUGGACUAAAUCAUGUGUCUGAUGGAAUCGUUUGUCGACUUAGAUGCGAGAAUAAAUGUAAAAAAUUCCUAAUAAUUCCGCCCGGACUCAUUUUCUAUCUGAUAUGUUAUCAUACAUGUUAUGCAAAUUGCCAUGACAUGCCCAUUGAUGCCGCUCAUGAUUGUAUCACUAGUUGUGGCUUGACCAAGCCGGUUGACUUCAACAAUGAUGCUCCUGGUCUUGCAACCGACGGGGUGAAUUCUUGUUUAGUAAAGUGUUACAAGAAGUAAUAUUUUAAUACAAAAAUAUUCUAGAACAUGUUGUUAUGAGAAAUAAUGCUGAUUUAUCAUUGCAAUAAACAAAUCUUAAUCAAUGAGACAUAUUUAGUUUUUAUCUUUUGUU